This 228-nucleotide ribosomal RNA is filed under the name Triticum aestivum (bread wheat). RNAcentral describes it as "partial small subunit ribosomal RNA". The record is from RNAcentral. Lineage: Eukaryota; Viridiplantae; Streptophyta; Magnoliopsida; Poales; Poaceae.
GUUAUUUUUUGGAACGUGCGCGGACUUAACAGUCGGGCUAAGCGCACCGCUGUCCGCACGGUGAUCCACUCCGCCUCACCUUGUAUUGUUUGUCUUCAAGAAACAAAACUUUCCAUGGUCUCUCGGCGCUUGUUCUUGAGACACUUGGCGCUCUUUUUGAUGGUUUCUAUUGGCUACCCGCGGAUGGCACCCGUGGUGGAAUCAUCCUUGCAUGGCAAUCUGGCGUAG